AAACAAAGAUACAAUUAACACAAUAACAAUUAAUUUAAAAUGCAUUCUAACAGUAAAUAACUGGAAUAUUUAAAGGGACACUCUAGUCACCAGAACAGUUUAUUGAAUUUGUCCUGGUGAGUAGAAUCAUUACCUUCAGGCCUUUUGCUGUAAACACUGAGAAAAUGCAUUGUUUAAAUUACAGCCUAGUGAUAACGUCACUGGCCACUCCUCAGAUGGCUGGGUCAUGGCUGCCUAAAAUGCAUCAAAAACAUUCAGUAUCUCCACCCUCUGUAUACAGACACUGAACUUUCCUCAUAGAGAUUCAUUGAUUAAAUUCAUCUCUAUGAAGAGAUGCUGAUUGGCUAGGGCUGUGUUUGAAUCAUGUUGGCUCUGCCCCGAUCUGCCUCUUUGACAGUCUCAGCCAAUCCUAUGGGGAAGCACUGUGAAACACUGGGGAAGCACUGUCAUUAGGCUUGUCAGUAAAAGCAAAAAAUUAAAGAAACCACUGUGGUACUCCGCAGAUGUGGCCAAAAUUGUAAAAAACAAAAAGUUAGCAUUUAGUAAUUAUAAAAAAAAAAGUGAGGAAGACAGAAUGAUCUAUAAGAUUAGGCAGAAAGAAGCUAAGCAAGUUAUAAGAGCUUCCAAAACACACACAGAAGAGAAAAUAGCACAGUCAGUAAAAAAG
Pelobates cultripes (western spadefoot toad) is the source of this 667-nucleotide non-coding RNA. Lineage: Eukaryota; Metazoa; Chordata; Amphibia; Anura; Pelobatidae. The record is from the annotation of a GenBank genome assembly.